Molecule: long non-coding RNA, 992 nt
Filed under: Olea europaea subsp. europaea
Lineage: Eukaryota; Viridiplantae; Streptophyta; Magnoliopsida; Lamiales; Oleaceae
Source: RNAcentral
AUUUUAUCUACUGCUGCUACCCCUUUGUGUUGCAAGUGUUUGAAUUAAACAACCUUAAUAUUUCAGAAAAUUCAAAUUAAACAUGCAAGAAAUUGCAGGAUAAUUCAAAAUUAUAUACCUGUUUCCAAGAACUACAUGCAAUUCAAUAAUCAAAUUCUCUUCCUCCUGAGAAAAUGUCCCUCUUUUCAAAUCAGACCUUAAUUAAUUAAUCCACCUUAACCUACAGCUCUUUCCCUACCGUUGAAGCCCUUCAAGAUUAUCGCACAACAGUGUGAUCAGAAACGAAAAACACGAAAAUAAAAUCGAAAAUGGCUAACGAAAAAUAAAGUUAUUACCUGCUAGUUUAGGGACAGAACUCCAACAUCCAUGUCCAUAUUUAGUUAUGUGCUUUAUAAGUUUUUCGUCUUCUUCAGGAGACCACGGACCUUUCCUUAACUACAUAAAUGCCCAACUUAAAAGUUCAGCUUGGGUCUCAAAAUCUCAAUUACAGCCUUGGUUGAGUUAUUCGGUAAAUGUGAAUGUAUGAUUAGUCAAUGUAGGAAUUUGUUGUUGUGUUUUAUGUAAUAUAGGAUUUUGUUCUUCCUUUUGGUGUAUGAUAUAUAUAUAUAUAUAUAGAUCUUCCUAAGGUCAUUAAAGAAGUUCUUCAUAUCAGACAAUGUCGUCAUUCUUAAAUUCAAAAACUAGAAAUUUCCAAAUACUAACUUUCCUAUAUUGUUUGUUAAGGAAAUUCUACCCAAAUGAGUGAUGAAGUUGGAGCUGUGUUUCUAAUGAAGAGAAAGGUUCCGAUGAAGAGGAGUUUUACAAUGCUGAAAGGAAUUCCUAUCUUUUGUGUAUUCAGGGUUUAAAUCUUAUGUAACUAAUGCUUAACGCAAAUAAAUUUUUUUGUAUAUCCACGCUAUUAAGUAGCCAACUAUACUAUAGUACUGCCUUGCACGUGUAUUCAAAAAUAUGUAAUGAAAUUAUCAAUUUUUAUGCAAUUACAAAAUUUGUCA